Long non-coding RNA from Helicoverpa zea (corn earworm), 2145 nucleotides. RefSeq lists it as uncharacterized. Lineage: Eukaryota; Metazoa; Arthropoda; Insecta; Lepidoptera; Noctuidae. The record is from RefSeq and is a predicted model, not a curated record. The transcript is spliced from 5 exons.
GUUCGGAGCGCGAGCGACACUCGCGUUGGAUGCGUGGCUUCUUCUUGUGACGACGAUCGACGCGCGAACACGUAUCGUCAAUUGUUUUUUUAUAACAUCUUGAAACUCAUACGAGUUCAGCGCUCCCUAAGCGGUUUUGGAACCUCUUAUAAGAAUUCAAGUUCCAUUAUUAUCAUAAAAAGCAACCAACAACCAAUGAAUUGAAGCUUCAAAUAUUUUAGUGCGGCUGCCAUAGUGAAUAUUGAAGACAGACAACUUUUCAAUUUCAAAAUGAAAAUUGAAAAUCUGAAGUUUCUUUUUUUUUUUUGAAAAAUUUGAAACUGCUGUAAGAUAUUAUGGAACUGUAAAUAUUGUGAAAAAUAACAAAGUGACGAUUAGUGGUACAGUGUCAAUGGAAAAUCAGGCGCAAAAAGUGCCAGCAUCAAAAAUUAAAAUAAAACAUAGAAUUUUUUCAUCGACAACAUAAUAAAAUUGAUGUGUUUCGUGAUUGUUAUGCUGAAGGAUCAUUACUAAUUAUCAGAUGUGUCGGAAACACGAGAUCGACAAAAAAAGGGGAAAAAACGAAAAAAACCUGAAUACCACCGCGGCCAACCUGUUGUGUGCACGGAGACAUUUGGGCCGCACAUUUAAAUGCGGGUGUAACGACUCUUAAAUUUACGACAAACAAGAUUGAAAGCUGUUUACAAUGAAGAUCAAGAAGAGACGGAGUCUAGAAGUUUUUCGCAGUUUUUGGAAGUUUCUUCGUACUGGUGAUUACCACUAGCGAGGUAUAGAGUUCCUACGUAUUCUACCACUGUAGGAACUUCAUACCGUGCUCUUGGGUUCGCCAAUCUUCUCCAAUUCUUCACCAUCACGCCUUUGAAGAUGACACAGCAAGAAUUAAGUCGAAGAAAUAUUCUCUGUAUUAUUUAUUUUGUAGUUUUUUCAUUGUGAUAAUUUGCAUUUGCGUGUUAUAAAAUGUGUACCAAAUAUUGUGUAUCAAAGAUUAUGUAAUCUCCUAUAUACUUUAUGCUAUGUACAUAUCAUACCUUCUUCUGCAUUUUUGUCUGUAGAGGAUUAAUGUGUUCAUUGUUAGUACUUACAUUGUAAGUAAUUAGGAUUUAACUAACUAACAUAUGUAUUAUGAUUCUUCAGCAUAAAUGUAUUUUAUAACUAUGUUCUCCAAAUAUUAUGAUUUUAGUUCUAACUUUGUAAGUGUGUUUAUCUUCUUGGAAUUAUUCUAUUAUUUUAAUACUAGCUUCCGAAUCAUGUGGGAACUAUUACACGCAUUAUAAAAAGUAGCCUUCUAUCUGACAGAACAUAUCAGACCAGAAGUUCCCGGGAUUAGAACGUUUAACCAACUCUACAGCUUUAUAAUAUUAGUAUUAUGAUUUUAAGAGUAUAGAAACUGUAAUUAUUAUAAUAAAUAGACACCUCACCCAAUGUAGACGUGAUGGUCGUGAUGUAUAUAAUUUAGAUUUUCCUAAAUAUUGGCCAAAUGAGGUUGGUAUAGGGAAAUAAACAUAAAAUAACAAUGAUCCAUCUAUUUAUGUACUACUUACAGGAAAUAUAUGUUUAUAUGAACAACGUAUAACAGCUAACUGUGGUUCAGCUAGUAAAGUUACGAACAUAUCUACAUGAUAUUGACCACACCCAGACCGAUUGUCGGCUGUUCUUCGGCAAGGAGAUCAGCCAGCUGUGCAGGGCAUGUUAUAUUAAUUAUAAAUCUUUAUUCUCAAGCAACAAGACUUAAAGUGUUAGUAAUAAUGUUCCUUAUCCUAUGGAAGUAUUCUAAAUACCAACCUGUACAUAAUAUGUGAAUCACCACCACACACUCGUCACCGAAGUGGACAGGUUGCAGCAGCGAUUCACAUAUUCAUAUUCACAUUUUAUGCCAUAACAGUCAUGGUGUACAACAUUUUUCAGACUCAGAACAACUCCCUUCCUAUUCCUUCAGUCUCAUAGGAAGGCAAUCCGACACGACUGGGGAGAGAUCAGGCGCAGGAUCGACAUUUACGUGCUCUUCGAUGCACGCGUGUGUCAAUCACCUCUGGGUGGCAGUUUAAAAAAAAACCACCGAUUUCGGUCCGUGAAUUGGACGCGUUCAAAAUACCUAUGUGGAUCAAUAACUGCUUUGUUUAAUUAAAUGAAUUACUUGAUAAUGUU